CGGGGUGUAGCGCAGUCUGGUAGCGCGUCUGCUUUGGGAGCAGGAUGUCGGAGGUUCGAAUCCUCUCGCCCCGACCA
This 77-nucleotide transfer RNA is filed under the name Holosporaceae bacterium. RNAcentral describes it as "tRNA-Pro". It matches the Rfam family "tRNA". Rfam says of the family: Transfer RNA (tRNA) molecules are approximately 80 nucleotides in length. Their secondary structure includes four short double-helical elements and three loops (D, anti-codon, and T loops). The record is from RNAcentral. Lineage: Bacteria; Pseudomonadati; Pseudomonadota; Alphaproteobacteria; Holosporales; Holosporaceae.